Molecule: ribosomal RNA, 505 nt
Filed under: uncultured bacterium
Lineage: Bacteria
Description: bacterial SSU rRNA
Rfam family: Bacterial small subunit ribosomal RNA
Source: RNAcentral
GACGAACGCUGGCGGCGUGGAUUAGGCAUGCAAGUCGAACGGUAUCAUCCUUUCGGGGGUGAGAGAGUGGCGAACUGGUGAGUAACACGUAGGUUAUCUACCCUCAAGACGGGGACAACCCAGGGAAACUUGGGCUAAUACCGGAUGUGAGCAACUUUUAGUUGUUUGAAAGGUGGCGUAAGCUGUCGCUUGGGGAUGAGCCUGCGUCCUAUUAGUUAGUUGGUGAGGUAACGGCUCACCUAGGCAAUGAUAGGUAGGCGGCCUUAACGGGUGGUCGCCCACACUGGGAUUGAGAUACGGCCCAGACUCCUACGGGAGGCAGCAGUCGAGAAUAGUCUACAAUGGUCGGAAGACUGAUAGUGCGACGCCGCGUGAACGAUGAAUCCCUUCGGGGUGUAAAGUUCUUUUAUAUGUGAGCAGUGCUUUCUUAUAUUAACAGUAUGGGGAAGAGAUAUUAGCAUAUGAAUAAGCAACGGCUAGCUCCGUGCCAGCAGCCGCGGUAAAA